This is a non-coding RNA of Bombardia bombarda, 85 nucleotides long. NCBI's taxonomy places the organism in Eukaryota, Fungi, Ascomycota, Sordariomycetes, Sordariales, Lasiosphaeriaceae. The record is from the annotation of a GenBank genome assembly.
GGGCGUGUGGCUCAGUUGGUAGAGCGUUCGCUUAGCAUACUAUCCUGUAUGCGAAAGGUCCUGGGUUCGAUUCCCAGCUCGUCCA